Molecule: non-coding RNA, 46 nt
Organism: Ciona savignyi (Pacific transparent sea squirt)
Lineage: Eukaryota; Metazoa; Chordata; Ascidiacea; Phlebobranchia; Cionidae
Source: Rfam
CAAACGGCUCUUUUCAGAGCCACCUAUUAUUUCCAAAGAGAUAAGA